RNAcentral lists this long non-coding RNA (4168 nucleotides) under Mus musculus (house mouse). Its description in RNAcentral is "predicted gene, 32014". The record is from RNAcentral. Lineage: Eukaryota; Metazoa; Chordata; Mammalia; Rodentia; Muridae.
GAAGAGCUCUUCUGAAGUUGUAAAGAACAGUCACUGCUGUUAAGCAGUGAAGAGGACUUAAGUAAAAACUAAGCAUCGACGCUAUGCACUGAGGAGCACUAGGAGGAGGAGGAAUCAUAAAAGAGUCACCAUGCCUUCUGUCUUCUCAAGAAACCUCAGUCGUUCCUGUGACUCCAUUCUGUUAGCCACACAAUGGCAUCCAGAGCUAAGUGACAAGAUGCAGUUUCCUCAGAAAGCCAAGAGGAAAAAAAUGAAAUGGCCUUUUUCAAACUCAUCAUCUUCCAGAGCCCCGCUGCACCUUUGUUUUGCUUUUAACAACCACUGUAUGUCCAGGAAGAAGCAACUAUAUGUAGACAAAGAUUCUUCUUGAUACAGUUGGUAUCAAACGUGGGAAAUGCAUUUAAAAUAUGACCUAGAAAUCGUGCUCAAGGAUUCAUACCUCAUAUCAUUUCAACGAAAGUGUUAAAAUCUGAACCACAAGGCAGAGCUGUCUGGAGAGAUAAUUGUGAUGGUCAACAUGGAUUAUCAGCUUAACCAAACUUUGGAUACACCUAUGUUGAAGUAUCAAGAUUAGACUAACGAAAUAAUGCAAGACUCAUGUUCACACCAAAACAGUGAACAGGAUGGAAAAAGCUGAAGACAUCGAAGUUCUUGAUGUGUCUCCCAACCUCAACAGAGACUACAGUGAUCGAGAGCAAUACACCGGACUACUGGAAACUCAGCAAUCUAGUAAGACACAGGGACUGAUGGGGACUUCCAUCAAACCCACACAAUCUGCCAUUUUUUAAAGCUUUCCCAUCUUCCUCAUAUCUUUUCUCCAUCUUUUCUAUGGUAUAAAUGGUAUCUUGCUAUAGCUGACAAACUACAGCUAACAUUCAGAGAUAUUCAGCUUAGAGGAAAUAUGCCUGUCUGCUUCCCUCCCUUCUAUCCCCACCCCUGCCUGGGCUGUUGCUUAAGAACCUUUGACACUUCCCAUACCUAGUCUGGCUUCUCCCUUUUGCCAGAGAGUUCUCCAUAGGGACCACACUGCUUAAACAGCACUGGAUGAGUGACUUACUACUUCUGAGAAAGGCUUACUCUGCUGCCAGAUUGUGAGGUCUAGUUCUUGAAAGAGAAUGUGCUAGCUUUAUUUCUGCUCUCUAGAGCAGUGGAGUGUAUCAGUUCUCUCUACAUUUGAAUUUCUCUAAAGAGCAACCAAUUUGUGUGUUCUUCUCUAGCAGAGCCAUGCUUAGUUGAAUGCUUCACUGUAUCCUACUUGUCCCUCCUUCCAGGCAUAUUUUAUCUUCAUUCUUUCUCUCUAAGUGUGCCCUCUCACCACCAAUGAAAUAAGGCUCAAGUUACAAUAUUGUACCCCUUCUUUCCAUCAUCCUCAGUGAUAAAAAGUACCUCCCGCCCCCUGCACCCCACAAAUCCUCCAAGGAACAUACUGUGGGGUUGCUCACUCCACAAUUUGCUAAUCUUCUGAGGAUCACUCCUGGAGGUCACGCACUGUCACUCAUUCUAUAGUUGCUGUGACAGACAAGCACACCCUCCGCCCCUGUCUAUCUUGCAGCCCCAGUCUCCACAGUAGGACAGUGGCAGCCCUGACUGUGGUCUUACCCUCUUAGAGUCAACCCAGGAUAGCGUGUGCUUUUCCAGAAUCUCACUGUGAACGACAAACCCUUGGACUUGUAAACAUUAAGCACUCUCAAGCAUGCCCCCUGCCUCAUGUUCCUGCUAGACCUUACACCAACAUGGAUGUGCAGUUAUUCUGUCUUGCCACAAACCUCCUGGAAUAUCAGUUAUACUAUUUGACUUUUCAAAUUUUCAUCAAAUGAAAAAUCACAUAGAUUUGCUUUCUGUAUAUAAAGACAUGAGCAUUUUCCACCAACUAAUAUAACACAUCUAGCCUGUGACCCACAUAGGCAAUUUCUUCUUAAUAUUUAUAGUAGGCUCUGUGGCUUUCUUGCAAGAACAAAAACACAAGAAAAUAAACAAUAGUGUCAGAAACUCAGCAAGGAACCUCACAUAUACUACAUGUGCAUAGCUUGCUGUUUAUUUUUGUAUUCUCUUCAAAUAAGCAUUGUGAGAUAAUUUCUGAAGUAAAACAAACAUUGCAGAGCAGUUCUUCAUGGAAAUGCUUUUCUUUAUAACAUUAAAGCUUAAUGUAAUAUUCUCAGCUUUGGUUUCUUAGUGAAAAGUAUCUAAGUCUAUACUAAAAAUAUCAAAUUAUGGGAAGAAUGAAUUUUGAUACAGAAUGAAAUGAGAAUUCAUUAUCUCUAAUUCUCUCAAUAAAAUGUCUUUCUGUUCAAAAUUAUAUCUUGUACUAAGAAGACAUCUCUUUUCUAACAGCAAAUGUUCACCCUAUGAAGAAAAACAGAUAAUACCCACUGAAAUUUUUAAUAAUUAUUAUUUAUAGUUAUUUGCAAUUAUCUGAAAUUAAGUAAGCCUGCCCUAUGUGGCAAUCUCUGUGUUGCAUAUCUUACUUAUAGUGAUAUAUUAAAAAGGUAGCUCUUAGUGUAAAAAGAUAAAGGCAAUAUAAUAGUAUUUACUCUUAAGUCAUACAACAGAGUUAAAAAACAUCUUUUCCAGUUUUGUCAAUUAAACUAGAAAAGAAAGAGUUAAAGAAAAGUCAAAGUCUUGCAGUGUGUCCAAAAUUUGCCAAUAUUUUAGUAAAAACUAAGGCAAAACUGUUUUUUCCGAAAACAUGUCAAUGAAAUGAAGUGGAUUAAUGGUGUUGAAUAACUCAGUAGCUAUUGAAUUGCCUCAGAGUUAAGAAUAAUCAUACUUAAUUGUCAUACUACUUCCUAAUAUUUCAAUUGAUCAUCCAUUGGGCUCCAAUAUGAAGAAGCCAAGAAGGAAUGGAUAGCCUAGAAGUGGCAUGAAAUUGACUGCAGUUAUUUCUCUGGUGACUCAGAUGGACAGUUGAUGGAGCAGACCUUAUGGCCUAUUGGAGAUUCGAUAUAAAGCCUCGUGAGUCUUCUCUACAUAGUUCUUUCUACUGAGGGAAUUUCAUGCAGUUAAGGCCUUCAGAGUCAGAGUCAUGUGAGAUUGAAGAACUUAUGCAAAUUUGUCUAUGGCCAGACUUCAUCCAGGAGCCAAACUUCUUAUGAUUUAGUUGAUAUUUAUCUCUGGAAAUGCUGGGACAUUUCAAAGUUAAUCAGAAAUUUAACGAGCAGUUUUUCAUGCUCCCCACUCUCAGCAUGGCCAUCCAUAGAUUCCCCUUUAGAGGACAGUAACCACCACUCCCCAUAGACACAUAACAAUUACCAAGUUAUUCACAGUUUAACCUUUAAGCCAUUCUUAGGUCCUCUGCCAUCCAUGCUAAACUCAGAUUACUUUCCUCCAAUUGGGCUCAGCCUCUGAACUCAUCUCUCCUUCAGGCCUGCUCCCUCUACCUCAAAACCAUAGAUACAUUUCUGAAAUGUGCUCUGAACCCAUCACCAACCACUGGAAUUCAAUCUGAUCAUUUUACUAUCCACAUCUGUCAUCCACACCCAUGAAACACCCUGAUCCCAGCUAGGACAGAAACAUAAUCUUAAAUGGCCCAGUCUUUUCAUAGUGCCACAGCUCGACACCUAAUGCCUUCUAUGUCCUUAUCCUUCAAAUUCUUGAUCUGAUUCACAUUUUCUUUUCCCCAAAGCCUUAACUUAAAGACGCCAUUGGUAUUUAGCGAGGAUUUCCUCUGCUCAUUCUGCAUUCUACCUCACUCAGAUUUAAAUGUCUCAUCUGCACUUAGGUAGUAUCUUAAGUCUCCAACUAUAGCAUUUUCUGCAAAUGAGAUUUUGUUAUUGACUUAUUGGUUUGUUACUCAAAUUACUUCCUGGAAUGGAAAGACUACAUCCCAUUCAACUCAGUAUCCUUAUUGCUCAGUGACACUCAAUAGCUGUUGAAUGUAUUUACUCAUAAAUAUCCAUGAGACAUUCUUGUAAUUUGUGACAAUCCACAGGUGUAAUUGAGCUUUAAAGACAAAUUAAAUCUAGUGCUUCAUACUGAAUUGCCCCUCUUUCACAAGCCACCCAAGGAAGUGAGUUAUUUAAUGCUCACAAACUCGAUAAAAUAGAUAUUAUUAUAUAUAACAGAUUGCAAAUCUUAGGUACUGCGUGGCUUGAUGUAUGUCAACAGCUUUGAGUAUAAUAAAUUUUCAAUAAAAACGUGUGGCUAUUAGUUUCAGUUUCUAUUAAAUCUC